UCCACCCGUGAGCGCAGGCCUUUCGCAGCUCCUUCUUCGCCGCUCCACACCCGCCACCAGUUCGCCAUGGAUGACGAUAUCGCUGCGCUCAUUGUCGACAAUGGCUCCGGCAUGUGCAAAGCCGGCUUUGCCGGCAACAAUGCUCCCCGGGCCGUCUUCCCCUCCAUCGUGGGACGCCCUAGGCACCAGGGCGUCAGGGUGGGCAUGGGCCAGACUCCUACGUGGGCGACGAGGCCCAGAGCAAGAGAGGCAGUCUGACCCUGAAGUACCCUAUUGAACAUGGCAUUGUCACCAACUGGUACGACAUGGAGAAGAUCUGGCACCACAUCUUCUACAACGAGCUGCAUGUGGCCCCUGAGGAGCAUCCUGUGCUGCUCACCGAGGUCCCCCUGAACCCCAAGGCCAACCGUGAAAAGAUGACCCAGAUCAUGUUCGAGACCUUCAACACCCCAGCCAUGUACAUAGUCAUCCAGGCCGUGCCGUUUCUGUAUGCCUCUGGUCGUACCACUGGCUUUGUGAUGGACUACGGAGACGGGGUCACCCACACUGUGCCCAUCUAUUUCUCCCUCAUGCCAUCCUGCGUCUGGACCUGGCUGGCCGGGACCUGACAGACUACCUCAUGAAGAUCCUGACCGAGCGUGGCUACAGCUUCACCACCACAGUCGAGAGGGAAAUCGUGCAUGACAUCAAAGAGAAGCUGUGCUAUGUUGCCCUGGACUUCGAGCAAGAGAUGGCCACUGCUGCAUCCUCUUCCUCCCUGGAGAAGAGCUAUGAGCUGCCUGACGACCAGGUCAUCACUAUUGGCAAUGAGCGGUUCCGUGCCCCUGAGGCUCUUUUCCAGCCUUCCUUCCUGGGUAUGGAAUCUUCUGGCAUCCACAAAACUACAUUCAAUUCCAUCAUGAAGCGUGACGUCGACAUCCGCAAAGACCUCUAUGCCAACACAGUGCUGUCUGGUGGCACCACCAUGUACCCAGGCAUUGCUGACAGGAUGCAGAAGGAGAUCACUGCUCUGGCUCCUAGCACCAUGACGAUCAAGAUCAUUGCUCCUCCCGAGCACAAAUACUCUGUGUGGAUCGGUGGCUCCAUCCUGGACUCCCUGUCCACCUUCCAGCAUAUGUGGAUCAGCAAGCAGGAGUAUGAUGAGUCUGGCCACUCCAUUGUGCACCUCAAAUGCUUCUAGGCAAACUGUGACUGAGCUGCGUUUUACACCCUUUCGUUGACAAAACCUAA
Molecule: non-coding RNA, 1230 nt
Organism: Myodes glareolus (Bank vole)
Lineage: Eukaryota; Metazoa; Chordata; Mammalia; Rodentia; Cricetidae
Source: RefSeq, a predicted model, not a curated record